CUCCUACGGGAGGCAGCAGCAGGGAAUCUUGGGCAAUGGGCGAAAGCCUGACCCAGCGACGCCGCGUGGAGGAAGAAGUCCUUCGGGGCGUAAACUCCUGGACUGGGGGACGAGGAAGGACGGUACCCCAGUAGAAAGGGACGGCUAACUACGUGCCAGCAGCCGCGGUAAAACGUAGGUCCCGAG
RNAcentral lists this ribosomal RNA (186 nucleotides) under uncultured bacterium. RNAcentral describes it as "partial 16S ribosomal RNA". It matches the Rfam family "Bacterial small subunit ribosomal RNA", at positions 336 to 538 of the family's 1533-position model. The record is from RNAcentral.